Molecule: ribosomal RNA, 742 nt
Filed under: uncultured Alteromonas sp.
Lineage: Bacteria; Pseudomonadati; Pseudomonadota; Gammaproteobacteria; Alteromonadales; Alteromonadaceae
Description: bacterial SSU rRNA
Rfam family: Bacterial small subunit ribosomal RNA
Source: RNAcentral
CGCGUGUGUGAAGAAGGCCUUCGGGUUGUAAAGCACUUUCAGUUGUGAGGAAAGUUUAGUAGUUAAUACCUGCUAGAUGUGACGUUAGCAACAGAAGAAGCACCGGCUAACUCCGUGCCAGCAGCCGCGGUAAUACGGAGGGUGCGAGCGUUAAUCGGAAUUACUGGGCGUAAAGCGCACGCAGGCGGUCUGUUAAGCUAGAUGUGAAAGCCCCGCGCUCAACGUGGGAGGGUCAUUUAGAACUGGCAGACUAGAGUCUUGGAGAGGGGAGUGGAAUUCCAGGUGUAGCGGUGAAAUGCGUAGAGAUCUGGAGGAACAUCAAUGGCGAAGGCAACUCCCUGGCCAAAGACUGACGCUCAUGUGCGAAAGUGUGGGUAGCGAACAGGAUUAGAUACCCUGGUAGUCCACACCGUAAACGCUGUCUACUAGCUGUUUGUGAAUUUAAUUCGUGAGUAGCGAAGCUAACGCGAUAAGUAGACCGCCUGGGGAGUACGGCCGCAAGGUUAAAACUCAAAUGAAUUGACGGGGGCCCGCACAAGCGGUGGAGCAUGUGGUUUAAUUCGAUGCAACGCGAAGAACCUUACCUACUCUUGACAUACUAGAAACUUUUCAGAGAUGAAUUGGUGCCUUCGGGAAUCUAGAUACAGGUGCUGCAUGGCUGUCGUCAGCUCGUGUCGUGAGAUGUUGGGUUAAGUCCCGCAACGAGCGCAACCCUUGUCCUUAGUUGCCAGCCUUAAGUUGG